Myotis lucifugus (little brown bat) is the source of this 3787-nucleotide RNA transcript. It is a transcript of the gene named family with sequence similarity 76 member B, with no coding region annotated. NCBI's taxonomy places the organism in Eukaryota, Metazoa, Chordata, Mammalia, Chiroptera, Vespertilionidae. The transcript has 11 exons. The record is from RefSeq and is a predicted model, not a curated record.
UCUCCCGGUGACGUCACAAGGUAGCGCGCAUUCGAGAACGCCACGGCGCUAAGGCGGUGGCUGCUAGACAGCUCUGAGGGCGAGCCGUCUCCCGGAGGAGACGUGGGCGAGGGGUCGUGUUUUGUCUCCUGAGGCACUUGACCCGAAUGACCGUUAGGAAUGAAAGCGAAUGCGAAGUUCACACACUGCACCGGUUCUCUGGGACUAAAGGCCAAGGAGGGCGUUCGCUUGACUCCGGGACGUCAGUCCAGGAAUGUCGGAUUGCGCAUCCUAUUGUAAAAUGUACUUACUGCAGAUCAGAGUUUCAACAAGAGAGCAAAACUAAUACAAUUUGUAAGAAGUGUGCUCAAAAUGUGAAGCAGUUUGGCACGCCUAAGCCUUGCCAGUACUGUAACAUAAUUGCAGCAUUUAUUGGUACGAAAUGUCAGCGUUGCACAAAUUCAGAAAAGAAAUAUGGACCACCUCAGACCUGUGAACAGUGCAAACAACAAUGUGCUUUUGAUCGGAAGGAGGAAGGAAGAAGGAAGGUUGAUGGAAAGUUAUUAUGCUGGCUCUGUACUUUAUCAUACAAAAGAGUUUUACAGAAGACAAAAGAACAAAGGAAGAGCCUGGGAUCUUCCCAUUCAAAUUCAUCAUCUUCAUCUCUUACUGAGAAAGACCAGCAUCAUUCAAAACAUCAUCAUCACCAUCAUCACCAUCACCAUCGUCACAGCAGUGGCCAUCACAAAAUCAGCAAUCUGAGUCCAGAACAAGAGCAGGGACUGUGGAAACAGAGCCAUAAAUCCUCUGCAGCAAUUCAGAAUGAAACUCCAAAGAAAAAGCCCAAAUUGGAAUCUAAGCCAUCUAAUGGAGAUAGUAGCUCUAUAAAUCAGUCAGCAGAUAGUGGGGGAACAGACAAUUUUGUCCUUAUAAGUCAACUGAAAGAAGAAGUGAUGUCACUUAAACGUCUCUUACAGCAGAGAGACCAGACCAUUUUAGAAAAAGAUAAAAAGUUAACUGAACUAAAGGCAGACUUUCAGUACCAAGAGUCAAACUUGAGAACAAAGAUGAACAGUAUGGAAAAAGCUCACAAAGAAACUGUGGAACAACUUCAGUUAUUAAUGUUGAAUGAUUACCUGGGAACAAAAUCUUCUGUAUGAUGAUCUCUGAUCUGAUUUAAUGUGGUAUAACCAAAACUCUGGAGUUAAUCCAGAAUGAAGUAACAGAAAAACUGCCAAAAACAGAGAACUACUCAAACAGGUUGCUGCAUUGUCAAAGGGUAAAAAGUUUGACAAAAGUGGAAGUAUACUAACAUCCCCUUGAGAAAGUUAUUGAUUUAAUGUUUCUGCUGAAAAUGUAAAUUUGAAAAAAUUUCAGUAAAGCCCUUAAAUUCUGUGUAGUGAAAAAAUAUUUUUGCACACCAAAUGAAUUGGCAUAUUUCCUAUUCACUUUUGUAACUGAUAAGCAUUUUUAAGUUGUAAAACAUCCAAAUAAAACUUCAACUGGUUUGAAGUAACUUUAUAUUAUUUGAUAUCCAGGAACUUUUUUGCCAGCAAUAGUAUUAAACAGUUGUAAAGGAGUGCAUGAGUAGUGCUUUUUAUAAAAUGUAACAUGCAAUAAUAGAGUAGGUAUGGUUUUAAGAAAUCAUAGCAGCAGGGUUUUGUUUUGUUUUUUUGUUUUACACCAUGCUAAUUUCAAAUAAACAGUUUUCAAUUUAGAAAUACAAAAGCUUUUAAACAAGGAAAAUGGUGAACACUGUUUUUUUUUUGGUGAUUGUUUUUUCACUUUGCAUCAACAUUAAUUUAGGAAUCAUGGUGCUUUUAUUAAAUGAACUUCAGAGAAUAUGUAAAUAUGUUUUUAAAUUUACAUAAUUAACAUUAGUUAGUAUACUAGUAUUUUCAUUAUCGGUAUAGGAAUUAAUGUUUAUUGUACAGUACCCAAGGUAAAAUGUGUUUUGUUUUGUAUAAACUGUGGAUUUUUACUUACAAGUGCCUUUUUGCCACCUAAUGUUUUUAUUUAUAGGAAUGUUGAUCUUUUGUACAUAGUUGUUUUAAAAUCAUGUUUAAUAAAUGUUUGUAUAUAAAUGCAUAUGUAUAGGAGCCUAUUUCAAAAGGAAAUCAAACUUGCUAGUAAAAUGUUUGAGGUUGCAUUAAGAACUGAUUAUGCAUAUAAACUUUAGAUGAUUUUGUGGUUUGUUUCUGUGUAAUAUGGGAAGUUGUUGGUCAUUGAAUUCAUUGAAUUAGUCAAAAUACUUCCCAAAGAUUUAAUUUUAAAUCACUUCUGAUAGAGUAAUUUUAUUUUUAUGUGAUAUGGCUUCAUGUUCAUAUUUUAUAAGUUACAUGUUUUGAUUUAUUUUUCUUUUAUAAAAAAUUUAAAAAUUUAUAAUUUUUCUGCAGUGGUCCAUAUAUAUGCUUUCCUUAUAAUAUGUGGUUAUCUAAGUUAAUAUUUAUGUACACCAUACUUAAUUUGUAAUUUUAAAGCAAAUCUGGAAAAAAUUAAAUAACUUUUAAAUCAAUCUGUGACUAUCUUUGAAUAAAUUGGAAUCUUGUUUAAGAUUCAGGUACUAUUUAUAAGAAAAGUAUAUAAGAGUCUUUAAAUUGUCUAUAAAAGGUUAAGGUAGGGUGGGAUAGGUUAUGGGAAGUUAUUGACUAAUUAUAUUCUGAUCCAUCUGUUUUCAGCCUGUAAUGGAAUUGAUGGCCUACUUAAUAUAUGCCAGUUCAGACUUGUAUUUAAAUUUUAAAGCAUCAGGCAUUGCUAGAUAUAUUGGAUAGAGUGGAAGAGUUCUUUCUCUUAGGAAUUUAUGAGCAGGGUAAAUUUGUUUGAAGUAAACUGAUUAUUAAAUUUGUCAAUUUUGGAAAGUUUUGUUUUUAAGCAAGCAAUGAUUAUGAAUCUCAUCAAAGGUCAUCUUUUCUCAGAACACAGGAUAAUUGUAAUUGUAAUAUGAUUCAUGUUUCAGUAGAUUAUUCCUAUGGUCUAUAAAGUAAUAUAAAAUAAUUCCUUGCCAAAUUUGAAAACAUAAUCUAGGGUAAUUUUCAAGUGAUAGCAAAAAACUGAAUCUGUAAGACUUGGAAGAACUAAACCAGUUUAUUUUUAUGAGAUCCUUAUAUGUAAUGUUCUUCAUAAAUUUCAGUACUUUGAACAAUGGUAGAUACUGCCUCCUUAUCACAGAUUUUAAUAUUUUAUAUUCUGAUUAUAGUCAUUUGACAAUCCACUGUGGUUAUUAUGGUUUUAAAUUAAGAUGUGUAGUAGUUCUUACACCUUUUUUGGAGCUGCUGCAAAGGAAAGGUGCCCCUUCCCACUUUUUUAGGUAACAUUGAAAAUUGAAAAUCAAUCUAAAUAAUUAAACUUUGCUAAAAUCUUUUAGGGGUUUCACAGUAUUUAGCACUAAUUAAAUGCCCUCUCUUUAUCCCAUGACUUUAUUUUAUCACUUAAAAUUAUUUCAAUUGUAUUAGCAAUUGGAGUCCCAGUCCCGGAUCUAUAGCGUAUUGACAUAAUGAGCUGAUAUUCUUUAAAUGUGGACCCGUAAGGAGAUACUAUGGUGUGCUGUAUUGUGCUUUUUAGCCUGUUUUCAGCUAUUAGCAUUUACCAGUGUGGAUCAUUUUGGCUCAAGCUAUUUAUGUAUUAAUAGCCUGUGAAUAUUACAGUCCUUUUUAGAUUGUAUUGGUCUAAAUAUGCAUUCUGAGGUGAACCUGUUAAGCUGUUCACAUGUAUAGACUUAAAAUACUGUACUUGUACACAUCCAACUGUUGACAUUUUGUACUUUUUUUCUAAAUCUAAUAUUUCACAAUAAAACUUGUCAAAAGCUUUG